RNAcentral lists this long non-coding RNA (2178 nucleotides) under Gadus morhua (Atlantic cod). RNAcentral describes it as "lncRNA (ENSGMOG00000035776.1)". Lineage: Eukaryota; Metazoa; Chordata; Actinopteri; Gadiformes; Gadidae. The record is from RNAcentral.
AUCUACUACCAAAAAUGCUGUCAAGAACACACGAAAAAUUUAGCUGGGUUGGAUCCAUGAGGGCAAACAAGUAAGGAAGCGAUGUGGUGGAGGCACCAGGGUUCUUGAUGUGAACAAGACUGCAACUAAAAUGGAUUUACUCUCUCUUGCGAAGGAACUAUUUUUUCCAAACGGCAAGUCUAAAAAAGGAAACUGGGAAGACUUAAUUCACAAUGUGUAUGAUUUCAAGGAAUGCGAACUUGAUGACCACACAGAUGUUGGUGAACUGUACGAAUUGUCGAAGUUUGGGAUGUUGCGCUUUUACUUACACACAGCAGUCCAACCACAAGAAGCAGACACGGACAAGGAAGAUGACAGUGCCCUGAGUGACACUCCCACAGAGCAGGACACACAAAGUGCCCUGAGUGACACUCCCACAGAGCAGGACACACAAAGUGCCCUGAGUGACACUCCCACAGAGCAGGACACAAAAAGUGCCCUGAGUGACACUCCCACAGAGCAGGACACACAAAGUGCCCUGAGUGACACUCCCAGAGAGCAGGACACACAAAGUGCCCUGAGUGACACUCCCACAGAGCAGGACGCUCAAAGUGCCCUGAGUGACACUCCCACAGAGCAGGACGCACAAAGUGCCCUGAGUGACACUCCCACAGAGCAGGACGCACAAAGUGCCCUGAGUGACACUCCCACAGAGCAGGACGCACAAAGUCCCCUGAGUGACACUCCCACAGAGCAGGACGCACAAAGUGCACUGAGUGACACUCCCACAGAGCAGGACACACAAAGUGCCCUGAGUGACACUCCCACAGAGCAGGACGCACAAAGUGCCCUGAGUGACACUCCCACAGAGCAGGACGCACAAAGUGCCCUGAGUGACACUCCCACAGAGCAGGACACACAAAGUGCCCUGAGUGACACUCCCACAGAGCAGGACACACAAAGUGCCCUGAGUGACACUCCCACAGAGCAGGACGCACAAAGUGCCCUGAGUGAUACUCCCACAGAGCAGGAAGAACAAAGUGCCCUGAGUGACACUCCCACAGAGCAGGACAUACAAAUCUCUGUUAUCCACUUUGAAAAUUCAUCUGGCUAUGAAUUCGUAGAUCUUCGGUCCCUAUCUCCAAUGUCUGAUCCAGAAGUAUUCUUUGGGCCAGGAGAAGGCACUCCUUCUGAAGGCCAACUGGAUGACACAAUUCCACUUGGGCUUAACAUCGACUCCCCUGUGACCUCUACCUUUCUACAUCCACCUGAUGACAUUACCACAUCCGUACCACUUGCCUCAACACCUCUUCCUAUGCCAAUGUACGAGAUUCAAUCUUUAAAUUCUGAAACACCAUCAAUGCGAAUAACACUUCACAGGGCUAAUCUCUUUGAUGAAAUGAUAAUCCAAUUCAAGGAUCCCUCUAUCCUGGACUACCCAUUGAAUUACAGUAUGGUCAAUGAACGUGGCAGAGACGAGGAUGGAGUUGCCAGAGAUGUGUACACUGUCUUUUGGAAUGAAUCUUUGGACAGGGCAGCAGAAGGUGCAGAGUUAAGAAUACCCUCUCUGUCACCGAGAUGGCAGGAAGAUGAAUGGAAGGCUGUGGGAAGAAUUCUAGCGAAAGGAUGGAUGGAUCAAGGAUACUUUCCUGUGCGCCUUGCCCCGGCAUUCACUACAGCCCUCCUAUUCGGUGAGCAUGCGGUGUCUAUGAAGACACUCUUUGAGGCAUUUCGGAUGUAUUUAAGUCAGUCUGAGAGAGAUGUUAUUGACAUGGCUUUAAAUGAAGACCUUGACGGUGAGUCCCAGGAUGAACUCCUGGAUAUACUUGAUAGGCUGGGAGUGAAAAUCGUUCCAAAACGUGAAAAUCUCAAAGCAGUACUCCUUCAAGCGGCACAUAAGCAGAUGAUCAAGGAGCCAAAAUAUGCUCUCGACAAUAUGGCAGCAGUUGCUGCUAAAUGCCUGAAGACCACCAUAAACACACCAGAACAACUGGAAGCCAUGUAUACGGACAAAAAUCCAACGCGCCGGAAAGUCCUGAAGCUCAUUGAAGCCCAUCCAGUCUCUGCUGCAGAGAAACAAGCCUUCAAAUUUUUCCAGCAGUACAUCCGUGGAUUACACGAUACAGGAUUAAGAAAACUGUUGAGGUUCAUAACUGGCUCUGACAUUACAUCUGUAUCAAAAAUUGAAGUACUUUUCAC